UGGGUAACCUGCCUCAAAGAGGGGAAUAGUCUCCCGAAAGGGGAGAUUAAUACCGCAUAAUAUGUUUUAAUCGCAUGAUUUUAACAUCAAAGGAUUUUCUUAGGAAAUUCCACUUUGAGAUGGACCCGCGGCGCAUUAGCUAGUUGGUGAGGUAACGGCUCACCAAGGCAACGAUGCGUAAGCCGACCUGAGAGGGUNAUCGGCCACAUUGGAACUGAGACACGGUCCAGCUCC
Molecule: ribosomal RNA, 234 nt
Filed under: uncultured bacterium
Lineage: Bacteria
Description: partial 16S ribosomal RNA
Rfam family: Bacterial small subunit ribosomal RNA
Source: RNAcentral